AGGUCCAGGGAGAGUAUGUGUGUGUGUGUGCAUGGCCAGAGCAGACCUUGUCCCCAAGGCCAGGCCAUGGGGUGAACAUCAGCACCAGUUCCGGGGCCGCGCUAACCUGCAUGUGUUUGAAGACUGGUGUGGCAGCUCUAUCCAGCAGCUCAGGAGGAACCUGCAUUUCCCACUGUACCCCCAUAUUCGCACAACCCUGAGGAAGCUUGCUGUGUCCCCCAAAUGGACCAACUAUGGCCUCCGCAUCUUUGGCUACCUGCACCCCUUUACUGAUGGCUGCUGCUUUGCUCCCUGGUUUGCAGCCUGGAACCAGGUCAUCUCUCUAUAUAAGUCUUUUCCAUCUUCACACUGUCUCCCAGGAUGUAGAAACCCCCACUUGACAGAGAGGGAAGCCACAGCAUCAAGCCCUGAAGGGAAUUUAAUCGCUAAGACACUCACAAAAGCCUCCAGCUUUUAUGCUGAUGCCCUCCUUGCCCUCAUCUGGAAACUCUCCCCGCUGCCCAGGGAAAAUCCAGUUUGCCAUUGCUGCAGAUGACAACG
This 540-nucleotide small RNA is filed under the name Pan troglodytes (chimpanzee). RNAcentral describes it as "retained intron". Lineage: Eukaryota; Metazoa; Chordata; Mammalia; Primates; Hominidae. The record is from RNAcentral.